GACGGUUUCUUUGAUUAUUUUAUUUUGGUAUUUUAUUGCGAGCCCUGAUUCUCCUUCAUGCUCCGCGCUCAAGUUCGGCAAAGCUUUACUGCGAUUAUUCCGCUUCCGAAGUACUGGAAAGGAUGAGUGACUCCGCGUUUUUUCUCCCAGGCUCUUCACGAAAUCUCUGUGGGUAUGGCAGAAAACGAAAAGUGAUGCGGCACAGAGAUGGCGCUAGGACCCUUUGCAGGAGGGACGUGCACCACUCCCCCGCUGUCUCCACAAGAGCAUCUUCUCUCAAGAUCCAGGGUAUUUUGAGUGGUCCUCUCCUGCCAGCUAACUGACUGAGAAUGAGAAAAUACAGUCUUUGAGCGCUUGCAGGAGGAAUUGUGGGUUGCCAAAAGUGGAAGGAAAGAGGAUUUUGAGCAACAGAAGAAACUUAGGUUGGUAGGAGCUGCAGCAACGGUAAUCAUUGCCUCAGUAGCAAAGCAUAGCAAGGUGUUAACAGAAAUCAUUAAGAACCUGCAACCAGCAGGUCUGUUACCGCCAUGUGCCCUCCUGUUUGAGUCUCGGGCAGGAAGCCGCGACCAGCCAAAACUUUCACUAAAAGCAAAGGAAAGAUCAGACUCAAAGGAAAGCCAAACCCUCCACAUGCUGCUGUCUGUCGCUCAGAGAAAGAACCUCUGCAGAAACACCUUAUCAUUUGGAGAAACCAAUCACAGAUACAGAAGAAUCAAUGAUCUUCCUGCUUCUCUAUUCAAUGAGUAUUUGUUAAGUCUCAGUUCUAUUAAUGUGGAGAAAGAAAGUUUCCCUUUUAACAAAAAGAAGUGAGCCGCGAGAGCUAUAAAACUCACUAAAUGAAGAAAAAUUCAAUUAACUUGUUGUAGUAGGAUGAAGCUUGAAUCUCCAGAGUCAUAAGAAGGAGUUCUGAUGCCAUCAAUUUCCC
Long non-coding RNA from Chionomys nivalis (European snow vole), 925 nucleotides. RefSeq lists it as uncharacterized. NCBI's taxonomy places the organism in Eukaryota, Metazoa, Chordata, Mammalia, Rodentia, Cricetidae. The transcript has 4 exons. The record is from RefSeq and is a predicted model, not a curated record.